GAAGAUGAACGCGGACUUGUCUGUUCUUCCUAGCAACGGAGGAAGAGUCUCGUGCAUGGAGGUGUGGCCACCUGAGGGUCUAAAGAAGUUUGAGACUUUCUCAUACCUCCCUACAUUCACAGAUGAGGAGUUGAUCAAGGAAGUCGACUACCUGAUCCGCAACGGAUGGGUUCCCUGUAUUGAAUUCGCCAAGGUUACAGAAAUAAAUAAAUAAAGUUUUGAUAAAAGGUCACCAAACUAAUAUUUCUGAAUUUAAUCAAUCGGUUUAUUUUACAGGAUGGGUUCAUCACCCGUGAGCACGGUAACACCCCUGGGUACUACGACGGCCGUUACUGGACUAUGUGGAAGCUACCCAUGUUUGGUUGUACCGACGCCACUCAGGUCCUCGCCGAAGUUCAGGAGUGCAAGAAGGCUUACCCGGAAUA
This 425-nucleotide long non-coding RNA is filed under the name Zostera marina. Its description in RNAcentral is "long non-coding RNA (ZMAR_LNC006150)". Lineage: Eukaryota; Viridiplantae; Streptophyta; Magnoliopsida; Alismatales; Zosteraceae. The record is from RNAcentral.